Capsicum annuum is the source of this 1466-nucleotide long non-coding RNA. RefSeq lists it as uncharacterized. The record is from RefSeq and is a predicted model, not a curated record. The transcript has 2 exons. Lineage: Eukaryota; Viridiplantae; Streptophyta; Magnoliopsida; Solanales; Solanaceae.
UCUCCUUUUGGUGAACCAAUAGCAAGAUGCUCUGGUAUAUCCUCAGAGCAAGUGUGGUAUACCGCGUUUUAUACCAACAUAGAUACUCAGCAACUAAAGUUGUUCAAAGAGUUUUUUAGUACAUUGCAGUAGGGUCAUGAGCAUGAAUUGCGGGCAUUGCACCAAGAAGCCCGGCAGAGGAAGAUGACGACAUAGCUUUCUGUGAUUCAUCACUUAUGAUCAUGGCAUAAGCCUGAUUUACUGAUGGUAGAGGUGUCAUCAUAAGUAUUUGGCUUCUUGCUUGCAUAUAGUUAUCAUUUAACCCCAUCAAGAACUGGUACAGUUUCUGCCUUUGCAGAUAGGCCAAGAAUUCCCUUGACUUGUCACAGUUGCAACUAGGUGGUGGUCUAAUGCUUCAAGUUCUACCCAUAGCUCUUUCAGCCUUGUGAAGUAUCCAGCUACACUCAGAGUACCCUGCAUCAAUGUAGCAAUGUCCUUAUGCAAGUUGAAUAUUCUGGAUCCAUCUAGUUUGUCAAAUCUUUCUCUUAGAUCCUGCCACACCUCACAGGCUGUAGUUGCAUACACCAUGCCUCCUAACAAAGAGCUUGAUACGGUGUUCAUUAACCAAGAUUGCACUAUGGCAUUGCAUCUUUUCCCAUUGAUAACCCAAUUCUUCACUAAAACUUUCUUUCUUCCAAGUACCAUCCACAAACCCCAACUUAUUUCUUCCUAACAAGGCAAUUCUCAUGGAUUUGCUCCAAAUAGAGUAGUUCUCAGAACCAGUAAGUUGUAAAGAAAUUAGAGAAAUGCCACUUACAUCAGCGGAAUGGAGAUACAGUGGAUGAUUAUGGUCCAGGACUUGAGUAAUACCACUGGUUGUAGGGGUGACAUCAACAGCAAUUGUAGACUCCAUUUUGUUUCAGAAUGAAAUGACAAUGACCUUCAAUUCUUGAGAUGCUGCGCAAUUCUUGAAAAAAUAAAGAAUCCAACCAGAUGAGGAAUAGCGGAACUCGAAUCUCAGAACUACAACUGAAUUUCAGUAGAGAUGACUAGAUCACUGCAGAGAUCAAGACAAUUUCCAGUAGCAAUGAUUCGCCGAAGAGGAUAUAUCUCAAAAUUGCAAGAAGAGAUUGCGGAAGCUAUGCAGAUAGUGUGGCUUUGAUACCAUGUAGAAUUUAAGAAUGAAACCAAGUAAAGAUCAUCCAGCUUUAGACAUUAAAGCUGUUAGAAUCAAAGAAGAAGAUAAAGGAAAAAAUGAAGAGGAAGAAGAGUAAGAAGAAGAGAAUGAAUAUGUAGCUGUAUAAGGAAGUAAAUUGUAUUGUAUUUAAUUAUAAUGUGUAUGUACAAGAGUUGAUGUAUAUAUAUAGCUGAGCUAAGCUUCUAGUCCCAACUGUUUUCUGGACUCAUAACUAACUCUUCACAGAAUUAGUUAUGCACAGUACUUGCACAGUAUUUUAACUAACUAUUCUAACUGCUAUUUCCUUGAA